Molecule: ribosomal RNA, 590 nt
Filed under: Colletotrichum siamense
Lineage: Eukaryota; Fungi; Ascomycota; Sordariomycetes; Glomerellales; Glomerellaceae
Description: eukaryotic LSU rRNA
Rfam family: 5.8S ribosomal RNA (bases 230-383)
Source: RNAcentral
AGAGGAAGUAAAAGUCGUAACAAGGUCUCCGUUGGUGAACCAGCGGAGGGAUCAUUACUGAGUUUACGCUCUAUAACCCUUUGUGAACAUACCUAUAACUGUUGCUUCGGCGGGUAGGGUCUCCGUGACCCUCCCGGCCUCCCGCCCCCGGGCGGGUCGGCGCCCGCCGGAGGAUAACCAAACUCUGAUUUAACGACGUUUCUUCUGAGUGGUACAAGCAAAUAAUCAAAACUUUUAACAACGGAUCUCUUGGUUCUGGCAUCGAUGAAGAACGCAGCGAAAUGCGAUAAGUAAUGUGAAUUGCAGAAUUCAGUGAAUCAUCGAAUCUUUGAACGCACAUUGCGCCCGCCAGCAUUCUGGCGGGCAUGCCUGUUCGAGCGUCAUUUCAACCCUCAAGCUCUGCUUGGUGUUGGGGCCCUACAGCUGAUGUAGGCCCUCAAAGGUAGUGGCGGACCCUCCCGGAGCCUCCUUUGCGUAGUAACUUUACGUCUCGCACUGGGAUCCGGAGGGACUCUUGCCGUAAAACCCCCAAUUUUCCAAAGGUUGACCUCGGAUCAGGUAGGAAUACCCGCUGAACUUAAGCAUAUCAA